Crotalus tigris (Tiger rattlesnake) is the source of this 786-nucleotide long non-coding RNA. RefSeq lists it as uncharacterized. The transcript has 4 exons. The record is from RefSeq and is a predicted model, not a curated record. NCBI's taxonomy places the organism in Eukaryota, Metazoa, Chordata, Lepidosauria, Squamata, Viperidae.
UGCCACGUUUUGUUUGAAUAUUGUCAAAAGGGUUUUAUUCAGGCUAGGAUCUCACCAUUUUUCUUUUUAAUUGUUUGUUUAAGGACACUUCUGGAUAGAAUGGAGAGGGGUACACUUGAAAAACAGACGUCAGUAUCGUCAUUUGAAAAGCCUCUUUGGUUUAAAGAUAUGUAUCAACCUCUGGAGGAAAUAAGGAAAAAAGACAUGAUUGAUAAAUUACAUGAUGAAGAGUCCUCAGAAAAGGAAAACAUAUACAAUUGGGCUAGUGCAAGACCUCCAGAAAUCCCUGAGCUUAUUCCUGUGGAAAAACUGGAUCUCUUUGUACUUUUUUUUUUUAAGAAGGAGGAAAGAAAAAAAAAUUCUUUUGUUUAAAAUGGCUUCAAAACAUCAAGUUUCCACAGUACCUAAGAUGGCUUCUUCUCCGGCGAUAUUACCAGCCCAACAAACAUCUUCUCCUCCUAUACAACCACUCACGGUAAAAGACUUGCAAGAUGUCAUGGGAAAUGUUAUAUCUCAAAUUAGAGGAGAAGUGAAGGAGAUUUUAGUGGAGAAUAACAAUAUUUUGAGGCAAGAUAUAGUUUUGGCCCUAAAAGGACUUGCUUCUGUUGUUGAAAAGUUGGAUUCUUGUGUUGAAGAAGUAGUAGAUAAAGUGGAUAUAUUGGAGGAAAAGUUUGAAGGAAUGGAAAAAAAGAUGGAAAUUUCACAAGAUGAAAUUGUUAUGUCUCAAUACAGAGAGAUGGAGUAUGCUUUAAGAAUCAGAGGCUUGAGGGAAAAUACGCAAGAAAA